RNAcentral lists this ribosomal RNA (505 nucleotides) under uncultured bacterium. RNAcentral describes it as "bacterial SSU rRNA". It matches the Rfam family "Bacterial small subunit ribosomal RNA", at positions 30 to 526 of the family's 1533-position model. The record is from RNAcentral.
AUUGAACGUUGGCGGCAGGCCUAAUACAUGCAAGUCGAACGGCAGCACAGAGAGCUUGCUCUUGGGUGGCGAGUGGCGGACGGGUGAGUAACGCGUAGGAAUCUACCCAGUAGCGGGGGAUAGCCCGGGGAAACUCGGAUUAAUACCGCAUACGCCCCACGGGGGAAAGGCCGGGAUCUUCGGACCGGUCACUAUUGGAGGAGCCUGCGUUGGAUUAGCUUGUUGGUGGGGUAAAGGCCUACCAAGGCUACGAUCCAUAGCUGGUCUGAGAGGACGAUCAGCCACACUGGAACUGAGACACGGUCCAGACUCCUACGGGAGGCAGCAGUAGGGAAUACUUGUGCAAUGGGCGAAAGCCUGACACAGCCAUGCCGCGUGUGUGAAGAAGGCCCUAGGGUUGUAAAGCACUUUCAGUAGGAGGAUUAGUAGGGUUAAUAUCCGGUUGCCUUGACGUUACCUACAGAAGAAGCACCGGCUAACUCUGUGCCAGCAGCCGCGGUAAAGU